AAGGCGGUGUACAAGUCAUAAACGAUUGGAGCCUACCACGGUGGAAGGCCACGAAAGAGUGUUCAAAGCACUCUUACGCUUAUCAACUUAAUAAUGGUUUGGUUGAGGGUUUUAGGUCUCAUCACAUAUAAACAUACAUUUUAAUCUCUAUUAAAACAAUUUUGGUCCUAUUACAACUAUUGGUCCAUUUGAUUGUUUUAGUUGUAUAUAAUACUCCCACUAUACUUAUAAAAUGGUUUUUAAAGUAAGAGUAUAUGAUACUACUAACAUAAACUUUGCAUUCAUUUGAUGGACUAUAUAGUUGCCUUAGGGCCUUAGGAUGACUAUGAACCUUUUAAUUAGAUCCAACACGAGCCUUGUGUUGAAUCUCGGUCUAGGGAUGGUGAUUGAUUUUAGCUACGCGUUUAAUCACAUUAAGGCGUGUUGUCUUAGGGGCGUUGGACCCAACUACUUCAUUUUCAUGCAUAUCAAAUAAAGCAAGAAAGAAGUACUUCAAAGUAAAGGUGAGCUUAUGCUCAUUACAACAUUUGCAUAAAACAAUUUAAAAGUAAAGAAGGGCUUAUGCCCUUUUACAACAUUUGAUCAAAUCAAAUUACAACCAAAAUCUAAUCUACACAUUCCCAUGGUUCAAACAAAUUUGAAACGGCCUUUCAAAUAGCUCAAUUAUAUUAGGCUUAGGUUCAUAAUCACCCUUUAAUUAAUUAACACUUUAACUAAUUAAAUAGAAUGCAACAUUUUCAUUUGGUUUUUGUAUCCAUAAAAUUGAUUUAAAUGGAGCUAAAUGAAAUGAAAAUCCAAUUCUCAUUUAAAGAGACAAAACAAUUUUGUUCUCAACCUAAUUUGGGCCAAAUUGCAAUUAACCUCAACCUUUGGGCAAUAUUGCAAAAACAUAAACUUUUGGGGUCACUUUGUAAGAACACAAAAGUCCACUACUUCAUGUAAUUACACUAGAACCCAAAUUUAAACAAUGCAAAAACUUUAUUAAAGGAGCAAAACAAUUUGUCCUUUAGCGUUUUUGGACCUAAACGUAAAAACGUAAAUUUUUGGGCCAAAGUGCAAAUACACAAAAGUAUCAAAACUUUAUGUAAUUGCAUAAAAGCCCAAAAAGUACUCCCACUUGAGGGAGGACCGGUCUUGGAUAGGAGAAAUGAGUGAUGUGUGUGUUGAUUGCUAAGUUAGACAUAAAGCAUGCAAGUGGUGCAAGUGGUGUGUGUGAAAGGAAAUUAAUCCUUACACACCCACCAAUAUCUCUUACAUCUCUUACACCAUUUAAACAAGGGUAAAUUACAUAGUAGCCCCUCAGGUUUGAACUUUAUUGCAAUCUCAUACAACAUCUUUAAAACAUUUCA
Molecule: long non-coding RNA, 1349 nt
Filed under: Malus domestica (apple)
Lineage: Eukaryota; Viridiplantae; Streptophyta; Magnoliopsida; Rosales; Rosaceae
Description: long non-coding RNA (MDOM_LNC004460)
Source: RNAcentral